AAAAGGCCCCCCCCUCUGUUUUCGAGAGAGCUUCCUUCCCAUCAUUGUUGCUGUAUCACCCAGUACUGAGUGAAACAACCAAACCAAGUCCUUGCUGAUUAUUUGCAUAGAAUAGAGAAUUCUGCGGAAUUCGGACCAGGCACAGGUUGGCAACAGUGCAGGGUCCCUUUGGCAGUUCCCCACAUUGUCCAAGAUAUUAAGCUUGACUCCUUGCCAACAUUCCAAGUGAAGUGCGUGUAUGUGGAAGAAGUCCCUCCCUCUGACCAUGCCACGCUGGUGUUUUGGUUUUAAAUUUCGAACAUUGAGAAGAACCAUAACAACAACUUCAGUUGCCAGUUGACCUUGCGUUCCAUAGUGUUCCAGAGGUUGAGUAGACAGAAAUUGCACUUUAUGGGCCCUGUAUAAGUGCAUGUUGUAUGACUUAACAGUUGGUGUCAUUUUGUCAAUUUACAUAAAACGUAAAUAAACCAUCAUGUUUUCCUCGAAAAGCAUUACGUGUACUAGGUUUACUUAAAAACAUUACAUUUGUCUUGAUUUGAAAUGCUACAGUGCGGCUCUUCGGUUAAUUCUCUGGAUUUUUACGUCAAGACAUGCUUGAGUUGGGGGAAAAGGGAGCAUGACCCGUGAUGGACAGUGACCAGACCUGGAGACUUGAUAAGUCGCGUGUGGGCUUGGAUGGGACCCGGACUGUGUUGCUAUCUAACCACAGCAUGUGAGGCUGCAGACACAAACAUUUGUAUUUGUAUUUUGAUGGAUUGGAUUGGGGUCGAGAGUUGAUUAAAUGUGCAGGUUGUAUGUCUUAUCAUUGAAGGACUGAAGAGCACACUACAUGAAUGUUAGGUACAUGCAUUAGCUCUCUGUGUUACGUGCCUCGUCAUUUUGCAACAUUUUAUUCAUCGUAGAGUUUAAUUGAAUUUAUGUUCAUAUUCAGUUUUUUUUUAUAAUUUUCAUUUGUUUACAUGUUGAGAUUUUAAAAUCUUUUAUUAUCAAUCUUUUGUGUUCUGAACUUGGCACAUGUUUUUGUGUCAAUCGACAUAAAGUGUAGUUUUAAUGUCUCAAAACUCGAAGAAAAAAAAUUGGUUAUUCAGUCAAGAGCUCUGAAGUUUUUGGGGUGCCCCUUACAAACAUCUGCUAGGUGCUUACACUUCAGCCGUAUUUCCCAAAUUAGUGAAAUGCACAGGUGCAAAAUUACUGCAAGGUGUGUGUAGUUUGUUAUAAUGGGUUUAGCGAAUUCCCUAUUCCUUCCUAGUUUUGUUUAAAUCAUGGAGAAAGGACACAUUUAGGCCUCACAUGAUUAUGGCAAGAAUGCUUUUAUUCCUUUGCUCCGUGAAGCUUUCAUAGGGGGAGGGUGACCAUGACCUGCUACUGACUCUCCUCGGUCCGUUGCUCCCAGAAGGGAUGCGAGGUCAUUCGGCCGGGCGAGCUCAAGCAGCCUUCUCCCUUUAAAUACAGCUUGAGUUGACCUGGCCAGGUUCCCCGCGAUCACUUCACAGCUAGGUGUCUGGAAUUGCAUUCUGCGUCUGCAUAUAUUAAACCAUAUACACAUGUACAUGCAUAUACUGUCUGCCUGGCAGACAUCAGUUAAGCUGUGGAUUUUCUGUGCAACGUGUACUGGCCAGUUAAAAGCAGAUCUCUUUCCAGCCGUGACUUGCCUGAAAUUACUAGUUUGCAUGAUGUUUUAAUUAAUUUGUAGUCCUUCCUCGGGCAUAGAUGUCUUUGUGUGUGAUAACCCAGGCUCACUGUUUGGAGUUUUCAUCAGUUUUAUCAUACAAGGAUUGCCCUGCUGCUAGAUUCAAAGCAAACUUGUCAAGCCCCAGUUAGAAAUUUACAGUUUUUUCUUUUAUUUAACAGGAUUCCCCAAUUUUUAUGCUAGUUGAUGGAUACUUAAAUACAUUUUCCUAAGCUGUGCCACUUCGUACCUAGAAAGAUUAUAGCAAGUUUUGUAUGUUUGUGUCUCGGUAAUUUCUCAAUACAAUGUAGUGAAAUAAAGUGUCAGUACGGAGAAAAUGGA
Molecule: long non-coding RNA, 2011 nt
Organism: Acanthaster planci (crown-of-thorns starfish)
Lineage: Eukaryota; Metazoa; Echinodermata; Asteroidea; Valvatida; Acanthasteridae
Source: RefSeq, a predicted model, not a curated record